GACGAACGCUGGCGGCGUGCUUAACACAUGCAAGUCGAACGGAAAGGCCCUGCUUGCAGGGUCCUCGAGUGGCGAACGGGUGAGCAACACGGGGGUGCUCUGCCCUCCACUUUGGGGUAAGCGUUAGCAACUGGGUCUAUAACCUGAUAGGAGACAUGUUUUGCGUGUUGGAUGGAGAGAUUUUUCGGUGUCGGAUGAGCUCGCGGCCUAUCGGCGGGUUGGCGGGGUGAUGGCCUACAAAGGCGGCGAGGGGUAGCCGCACUGAGGGGGUGGGCGGCCACAUUGGGACUGACGUGCGGCCCAGACUCCUACGGGAGGAAGAAGGGGGGAAUCUUGCACAAGGGGCGCCGGCCUGAUGCAGAACGGCCGCGGGGGGGAUGGCGGCCUUCGGGUUGAAAACUCGUUUCGCUAGGGACGAACGUUUUUGUGACGGUACCUAGAGAAGAAGCACCGGCUAACUACGUG
This 465-nucleotide ribosomal RNA is filed under the name uncultured bacterium. RNAcentral describes it as "partial 16S ribosomal RNA". It matches the Rfam family "Bacterial small subunit ribosomal RNA", at positions 28 to 507 of the family's 1533-position model. The record is from RNAcentral.